Non-coding RNA from Myotis brandtii (Brandt's bat), 76 nucleotides. The record is from Rfam. Lineage: Eukaryota; Metazoa; Chordata; Mammalia; Chiroptera; Vespertilionidae.
GGCAGUUCUCGGGUGAUGCACCCUGGAAUCAGGCUCCCUCCUCUCUGGUUACAGGGUGCAUCACCUGAGAACUGCU